RNAcentral lists this ribosomal RNA (351 nucleotides) under Triticum aestivum (bread wheat). Its description in RNAcentral is "partial small subunit ribosomal RNA". Lineage: Eukaryota; Viridiplantae; Streptophyta; Magnoliopsida; Poales; Poaceae. The record is from RNAcentral.
AUGCUAAACCUCCCUCACAAUUCAUACCCACACAUAUCCUGUUUCGACGAAGCAAGGAUCAAGCAGAUGAUUAUCCAGUGCACAAAAAUUGGCCCUGGCCCCCCUGAUUUCUCCCUAGGUCAGAUCCGUCACCAUUCUCAGAUAUGCUACAUGCGCUCCGUUUGGGAUUCAAAGACUGAAGCAAAUACAUCCUCAUCAAAGAAACCAGUUAUUCCGUCCCCAAAAAAGACCUUUACAGAUACCCCUCAACCUAUUUCUGUUGGUACUUCUUUAUUUUUGACCAACAUACCUACGCCUUCGGAAUUCCCCAGCAUCCUCAAGCAUAACUAUCCACAAUUGGUAAACAUAUAA